Molecule: ribosomal RNA, 910 nt
Filed under: uncultured bacterium
Lineage: Bacteria
Description: bacterial SSU rRNA
Rfam family: Bacterial small subunit ribosomal RNA
Source: RNAcentral
ACGCUGGCGGCGUGCCUAAUACAUGCAAGUAGAACGCACAGGAUGCACCGUAGUUUACUACACCGUAUUCUGUGAGUUGCGAACGGGUGAGUAACGCGUAGGUAACCUGCCUGGUAGCGGGGGAUAACUAUUGGAAACGAUAGCUAAUACCGUAUAAGAACAUUUACUGCAUGGUAGAUGUUUAAAAGGUGCAAGAGCAUCACUACCAGAUGGACCUGCGUUGUAUUAGCUAGUUGGUGAGGUAACGGCUCACCAAGGCAACGAUACAUAGCCGUCCUGAGAGGGUGAUCGGCCACACUGGGACUGAGACACGGCCCAGACUCCUACGGGAGGCAGCAGUAGGGAAUCUUCGGCAAUGGGGGGAACCCUGACCGAGCAACGCCGCGUGAGUGAAGAAGGUUUUCGGAUCGUAAAGCUCUGUUGUUAAGGAAGAACGUGUGUGAGAGUGGAAAGUUCACACAGUGACGGUACUUAACCAGAAAGGGACGGCUAACUACGUGCCAGCAGCCGCGGUAAUACGUAGGUCCCGAGCGUUGUCCGGAUUUAUUGGGCGUAAAGCGAGCGCAGGCGGUUAGAUAAGUCUGAAGUGAAAGGCAAUGGCUCAACCAUUGUAGGCUUUGGAAACUGUUUAACUUGAGUGCAGAAGGGGAGAGUGGAAUUCCAUGUGUAGCGGUGAAAUGCGUAGAUAUAUGGAGGAACACCGGUGGCGAAAGCGGCUCUCUGGUCUGUAACUGACGCUGAGGCUCGAAAGCGUGGGGAGCGAACAGGAUUAGAUACCCUGGUAGUCCACGCCGUAAACGAUGAGUGCUAGGUGUUAGGUCCUUUCCGGGACUUAGUGCCGCAGCUAACGCAUUAAGCACUCCGCCUGGGGAGUACGACCGCAAGGUUGAAACUCAAAGGAAUUGACGGG